AGCAUCUCAAUUGUUGUAUAAAGACAAAAAAGGAAUCCAGACAUGUCCUUUUUACACUUCCACCAAUGCAGUCAUUUUUGUUGUCUAUAUCAACAAAUUUUGCUUCUAUAGCAACUGAUACAGAAAAAUGAGACAUGAUAUAAAUUCAAUAAGAAGUAUUACUGUAUCACUAAUGAGGAAAGAAAUGAUGGCCUAAGAUUUUACAAAUGACACUACUUAUCAAAAAAAAGAUUUAACAAAUGACACUGCAUCAACAGAGCUGAAUGGCCAAAAAAAGGCAUGGUUAGGGACUAAGGCUCUAAUAAGACAAACUAAAGCUAUUUGAUAAUGAGGCAAAAACCAUAUUGAAAAUUGUACAGGACAUACAGAUUAUGCAAAAGUUUCUUUAGAUAUGACAAUAGUCAAAAGUGGAAUAGCAAAUUCAUCAGAAUGAUCCUUGCUAAUCAGGAGCUGCCCAUCUAUGCACAAUCAGACUCCCUCCACAUCUCUCAAGACAUGCACCAACAUCCAACUUAGCAACUUGCACAUGGCUUACAGCUUCACUUUUAUUGCAGCAUGAAAAUUAAGGGACUGGGAAUUUUGCCACCAUUUAGAAGGCCCUUCCACCAAACAACUAUUUGUGUGCCCACUUGCUGAAUGGCAUGAAAGCCCCUUCAUUACUCUCACUAGGGUGGGGAUGACUUGAACAAUACUGUACAGAUCCAAAAUUGAUUGCCAAAAUCAUUGCUCACCAACUGACAUCCUUUGACACUCCAUCUCACUGUUUUCAAUUUUUUUUGCCUUUUUGUAAUAGGAUGACCCAAACAUCUCUACCACUCAGCAAUGCAACACUCCCCACAUUCAGCUUAAAAUUUAGGUUAGGUCAAUUAAUUUCCUCUGCACUCAGUUAUUUAAAAAGUGAUUGACAAAUGAACAAGGGAAGCAAAAAUACAGAGUUGGAAUUUGACUUAUACUAAACACAGAUUUCCAUGGAACACUCAGAAGUCACAACCAGGACCUUAUCUUCCAUCUGAGAGUUUUCUAGCAUCUAGGCAAUGUUUUAAAAGGCUAUUGAGGCUCGCCUUAAGGCUAGGCUCUGCAAAUUAGCCUUGUAUAGCCUCAGUUAGGGUAAUUAAGGAUUAAGUCUCACUCUGUCAAGGCUUAUAGCUUUGAGGCUAAAGCAUCAAGGUUGUUGAGGCCUAAGCCUCAAAAAUUCAAAAGGUUUUAGGCCUUUGUGGGCUUUUGGUGUACAUUUUUUAAGAGACUUUAAGCCUCAAUAUUCAAUGAGUUUUAAUGGGUUCUAUCAUCUAUGCUAUUGUGGGGUUUUAAUAUAGAUUUCUUGAGUUUUGUAUUGGAUCCCAACUUGAUUAAACCUUUUUAGGAAAUAAGGGUUUAGUUAACUUCUCAGUUAACUUUUUAAAUGGAAGAGAAAAGGAGAGAUUGAGAAGAAAGAAUAGGGCAAUAGUUGGCUGUCCUAGUGGCAUAUGUCAAAUAUAAUCAUUAUAUUAUUAUUGAUAGAUGAUAAAAAUAUUACUGCAAUUGGUGGACAAAGGAAAAUAAAUAUUAUCAAGACCACCUUUAGCCUUUGUC
RNAcentral lists this long non-coding RNA (1569 nucleotides) under Vitis vinifera (wine grape). RNAcentral describes it as "long non-coding RNA (VVIN_LNC002576)". Lineage: Eukaryota; Viridiplantae; Streptophyta; Magnoliopsida; Vitales; Vitaceae. The record is from RNAcentral.